CCCAACCAUAUAAUCUUGAAAAUAAAAUCAACCAUAAAGAAAAGAUAUUAAGAGACCAUGAACAGAAUAUACAAGAAAUUUGGGAUAAUAUGAAUAGGCCAAAUUUAAGAUUCAUUUGAAUAGAUGAAGGCUAUGAAGUACACAUAUCAGGAAUGCAAAAUCUAUUCAAUGAAAUAAUAGAAAAAUUUCCAAACCUUAUAAAUGGAAUGCAAAAUCAAAUACAGGAGGCGCACAGGACUCCAAAUAUACAAAAUCACAACAAAUCCACUCCAAGACACAUUAUUAUGAAAAUGCCUAAUAUACAGAAUAAGGAUAGGAUUUUAAAAGAUGCUAGAGAGCAUAGCCAAUAAAAAAAAAUAAAAGAUGCUAGAGAAAAACAACUGGUCACAUUUAGAGGUAAACAAAUCUGAAUUUUAUCUGAUUUCUCAACCCAGACCCCAAAGCAAGGAGGGGUUUGGAAUAAUAUAUACCAAGUUCUGAAAGAAAAUGAAUGUCAAGUAAGAAUAUUAUACCCAGCAAAAUUAGACUUCAGAAUUGAAGAUAAACAAAAGUUCAAAUAUUUCACAACCAGCAAUCCUGUACUAUAUAGUCAAUAAUAUAUUCAAUAAAAUAUUUCAUGAAGAAGAAAUGGAGAAUAAAAAUGAAAACCAGCAGAGGGAGUAACUACACUAGAAGAAUAGUUACUCAAAGGAUAAUUGAAUUCAACUUAAAAAGUAGAAAUAAAUCAAAAUGCCAGAAAAUAAAAAUCAUCUCAAAAAUAAAAUUGAAUGUAAAUGGUAAAAAGCCAUCAAUCAAAAGACAUAAGCAGAUUGGAUUUAAAAAGAAGACCCAACAGUAUACUGUCUUCCAGAGACUCACCUCACAGACAAAGACAUCCACAGACUUAUGGUGAAAGGAUGGGAAAAAAUAUUGCAUUCACAUGGAUACUGUAAACAAGCAGAGGUUACUUUUCUCAUACCAGAUAAAGUGGGCUUUAAGUCAAAAUUAAUCAGAAGAGACAAAGAAGGUCAUUUCAUACUGCUUAAGGGAAUUAUGCAUCAACAAGAUAUAACGAUCAUAAAUACUUACAUAAAAUAAACCCUUCUCAAUGUCAAGAAUGAAAUACACCACAAUGCAAUAAUACUGGGUGUCUUUAAAAUGCUUCUCUAAUCACUAGAUAUAUCUCCUGAACAAAAAUUUAAUAAGCAAGCUACAAAACUAAAAAAAUACAAUUAAUAAUUUAGGCCUAACAGACAUAUGUAGAAUAGUUCAUCCAUCAAUGACAGAAUACACUUUCUUUUCAGCAGCACGUGGAAUAUUUUCUAAGCUAGACCAUCUUUUAGGCCACAAAGCAACUUUUAGAAAAUACAAAAAAUAGAGAUAAUAACUGUAUUCCAUCAGAUCAUAAUGGAAUAAAAUUAUAAAUCAAUGAUAAGAUAAAAAUAGAAACAACUCUAUCACCUGGAGACUAAAUGACUUACUAUUGAAUGAUGAAUGGAUAGCAGAAGUAAUCAGAGGUGAAAUAAAUAAAUACUUAGAGGUAAAUGAGAAUAGUGAUAUGACAUGAAAAUCUCUGGGACACUAUGAAAGCAGUUCUCAGAGAUCAUACAUUACAAAAAGACCAAGUAGG
This 1609-nucleotide long non-coding RNA is filed under the name Marmota monax (woodchuck). The record is from RNAcentral. Lineage: Eukaryota; Metazoa; Chordata; Mammalia; Rodentia; Sciuridae.